RNAcentral lists this long non-coding RNA (7002 nucleotides) under Selaginella moellendorffii. RNAcentral's name for it is "long non-coding RNA (SMOE_LNC000969)". The record is from RNAcentral. Lineage: Eukaryota; Viridiplantae; Streptophyta; Lycopodiopsida; Selaginellales; Selaginellaceae.
GUAUGACUGACUUCUUUGUGUUCACUCGUAGCUAGGGAGACAUGGUUUUCGGUAUCCUUGUUCUUCUAUCUUUUUGUCUUUGUAUCAAGUCAUAGACAUGGUUUUCGCUUUUUUUUUUUUUGGAAGUCGGCAAUUAAAAUUUGGCCCUCGUUUCCAACCUCCCAGCCCAGGCCUGUGUAGAAAACAUACCUCCACAGGUCUUCCAUGGCUUCCCAGUCAUGGAUAGCUCCUCUCUCGAUGGGAUUCACGGCAUUCUCCUUCCAAUCGUCUCCAUUCAAGUCGAUCUUGUCGAUGUCGCCCUCGUCCGCCUUGGUCAUUGCCGUUUGCAUCACCUACAGGCGGAGCGCAAGCAUCUAAACCCAAUGUCGAUGGAUUCCUAGAGUGAUUACCAGCUGAGGAUCUUGCUCGGGGAUCGCGAAGCCGGCCUUGAGCAGCCUGGAGCCGGCGUCGAUCACUAUCGCCUCUGCUGCCAUAGCGGACAAGAACCCUAAAAUCUCUCGGUUUGCUUUAUAUCUCGCGUUCGAUUCUCCUGGCUAACAAAAAGCUAACGAAACUUCGUCGUUAGGCGGCCAUAACUAGAACUUUGAUGGUUCCCUGGCUAUUGGCGGCUAACAAAGUUGGACUGUCGCUCUUCCAACACACGGCGCUGAUGAAAUGCAAUGAGUCGUCUAAGCUUCCAAAUCGGUGUCGAGUUGCUGGUCUAGAAAUCGCCUGAAAAAAAAAGAGAAAAGUAUAAGAAACACUUCCGAAGAUGAGAAGAAAAAUUCGCAUUUUUACCUUGUGAUACACGAACACUUCGUUGGUUUCACUUCCACAGGUUACGUAGUCACUGUUACCGCUCAAACCAACGAAGUUCCUCUCGUUUAUAUGCCCAGUUAGCGUUCUAAUCUGCAUAGAAGCUAGAAGUUUAAAACAAGAGCUUCAAAACAAGAGCGAGCUUACCGGAGUGUUAGUUCUGACAUUCCAGAUCCGCAAGGUGCUAUCAGUCGAUGCGGACACGAGCUCCUCCGGCGUGAUGAACUUCACGUACGAGACGGUCUUUUGGUGGCCGCUAAAGGUGUGGACUGGCGAAGCAGGAGAGCGCAAAUCGUAGUAAUGUAUGCGGUGAUCGGCCGAUCCAACCUGCAAAUGCUUGGAAAUGAAUAAAACACCACUGUACCAAACCGAUAACUCACAAGAGAUAGAAAAAGAGUACCGCUACAAAAUUGCUGGAGCUGGGAUUGAACUUGACGCAGCAGAUGUUGGCUUUCAUGUCGAUUCCCAUGACGCUGCUCUCCUGUCGAGUAGACCACACUUUGAGCUGCAAGUUUUUCUCAAAGUUAGAUGGAAACAAAGAAUUUUCAAAAAGAUACGUUCUAACCUUGCCAUCGUCACUGCCAGAAACAAGUAAAUUGGGAUCGGUUCUAGCAAAAUCGACACUCCACGCUCGCUUGGCAUGCUCUUCGUACUCCAUGAUACUCUGAAAUCAAGAUAGGAACGGAAGCUCUCGCCCGUCUCACUAGGAUCUUGUGAUUGCUUUCGCUUUUGCAAAUAACAAUCUUGCAGGUCUUCAAAAUGUGCACCACACACAGAGGAAGUUGGCCGACUGUUACAAUCAAGAAAUCCAAGGAGCAUACCUGAGAAAGCACUCGCCUCUUUUUCGAAAGAACCUCACUUUCUCUCACUCCAGACGUUCCCUCGUCAUCAGUUUGCGCUCGCUUAAGACGAGCUUUUUCUCCAUCCGGGGAGCUCCCUUCCGCUUCGGACGCCUUGACACGACAGCGAGAGCUAGGAAGCUUUUGGUGAACAGGCGACGCAUGACGUUCUUUGGAUUUCUUCAAACUAGUCGCCUGCUUUUCAACAGCAGCAAUGUCUUCCUUGAGCCAUUGCAGGUCUGUUUGUAUCUGAACGAAGAAAACGUCGUGAGUAAGAUCACAGGUCCGGAGUUCUCACCUCGUUUAACUCUUGCUGCUUCUGUUGCCUCGACCGCUGCAAGAAAUCAUGCAAGACCUCCAAAUUUGUUUCAGUCAACAAACUCAAAAGUGUAUCGAUGUCUUUCAUCGAGAUGUCUGCUCCCUGAGAAUCACAAACAAAACAUCAGCACUAUAACUAAAAACCAAACUUUUCGACAAAAAAGACCUGUUUGAGAGCAAGCCGCAGGUGCUCUCCCGGUGACGUAGAGCUGGCAACUUGGCACACACUCGCCUUCCUCAAAUCUCCAACAGAGGAAACCAUGGAACAUCAAACUUCCGAGCAAGAUGGCAAAACAAAUCGAAGGUACCUUGUUGAGAAGGAAAUUCGGGUAGAGCUGGCCGCUGGUCAAGUAAGCUCCACAGCAGGGACAGUUGCUCUUGAUGUUUAGAUGCGUCAUGAUGCACAGCUGUGGCCGCAGCUCGUCAAAAACGCGUCUUUGAUCGUCUGGAUGCAUAUCGGGCACAGGAAAUCCCUGUCGAGCUCGAGAUUGUAGCUGGAGGCCUCGGUUCUCGUCCCACACACGGAUGGAACUUGGGCAGCGUCAGAGGAGCGAGCUUGCAUCUCCGUGAGCCUCUAUCAUUCUCUCGCCUUAAUAGGACGAACUUACAAGACCCCGCGCUUCUUCUUUUCUGCCUUCUUCGUCUUCUCGCCCGUCCCGCUCUAGGGAUUAUUGUUGUGUGAGAGAGCGAGGAAUGUCGGGCAUAUUCUAAGGGUGAUUACGUGGCCGGCCGUGAUUGGAGGACAUCUCAGGUCGGUAAGAAGCCACGAUAAGGGCCAUCCCGCCGUCCAGGCCCACGUGGUGUCUACCAGCUUCAACUUCGUCAAACCAACCAAGAGUCAAGUCAAUGCGUAGAGAUGAUGGUGUGAAAUGUGCUCCGGAAUAUGCUCUCUAGCUUUUGACGAUCGUCUCGGCCUCGGCGGAUGGCUCCAUAGCUCUCAUGGACCUGAGGCACGUCAUGAGGAAAGGAAGCAUCAAGUCGAGAGCAGCGGCCACGGUGAAGCGCCCCUACAAAAUGAAAGGAGACACUGCGCAAAGGAUGCUGUCCAGCGGUGGCUCUUGCGCUUACUCAGUGGACUUGGCUCGGACAGGAUUGUGAGUGCCGGGGAGGGGACGGCGAUCAAGGUCUGGGACUUCUCCCAGGCUCUCGAGUUUGAGAAGAAAACACAGGCGCUUCGAAGCGUCCGGAGAGAGCAGAGAGCUCAGCGGAAGCUCGCGAUUAAGAACAGGAGAAAGGAAUGACUGCCAGGAACUUCGGUUCAGGGAUAAAGGGGAUCGACUACACAAAGUUGGUAACGCUCGAUAUCGAUCUCAACUCACCGACAUUAUUUCAAAACAAAAUGGUCUUGAAGAUCAUGCUUCUGGAGAUUAGUCUCCAGUAAAAAACCUCAAUUAUUUCCAAAUAUCUAACACGAAGAUCAUGCCAAAAAACCAAAGUUUUCAAUAUCUUAAAAGUAUCAAAGAAAGAUCAAUCACGAAGAACCACGGAAAGAAGGUUGCGAACCUGUCGCAUCGUUGGCCUGUUUCCCGGAUUGCUAUCUAUGCAUCGCAGCGCCGUGACAAGCACUCUGGUGGCCUCCUCCGCGUUGAAAACUCCCUACAGCCUUGGAUCCACGACACCCAAGAGCUUCCCGGCCGCGUACUGCUCCUCCACCCAUGGCACCAGCAGCCAUGCGUUGUGAUCCUUCUCCUUGGAGCUCCCAAUCACCCGCCUCCCAGUCACAACCUCGAGCGUCACCACGCCAUAGCUGUAGACAUCCGACGCGGGCGUGAACUUGUAUGUGACCCCGACCUCGGGCGCGAUGUAUCCCAGCGUCCCCGCGAGCGUGGUGGUGCGUGAGCUCACGUCAUGGCUGGCUGUGCGCGCGAGGCCAACGUCGCCCAGCCUCGCGCGAAACUCUUCGUCCAGCAUCACGUUGCUGCAUUUCACGUCGCGGUGGAUGACCUGCUGCUCCCAGUCCUCGUGGAGGUAGAUGAGUGCGGCGGCGNNNNNNNNNNNNNNNNNNNNNNNNNNNNNNNNNNNNNNNNNNNNNNNNNNNNNNNNNNNNNNNNNNNNNNNNNNNNNNNNNNNNNNNNNNNNNNNNNNNNGUCGUAGACGAGGACGAGCUCGCGGUGGUCGCGCGCGCAGUGCCAGCCGCGGAGAGGGACAAGGUUACGGUGGCUGCGCUUGCUGAUGAUCUGGAGCUCCGCCAGGAACUCGCGCUCGCCCUGGUGCGAGUCCCGCACCAUCUUCUUGAUGGCCACCGGGGAGUUCUCGCCGGGGAGGAUGCCACGGUAGACCUUGCCGAAGCCGCCUGUGCCCAGGAGGUUGUGCUCGGGUGCCGGAGGUGAGCUGCGCUUAGGGAAUCUCGUGUGGCAGCGGCACAAGGUCCUUGGACGAGCUCUUCUUCUUCUUCUUCUCGGAUGGGAAGCCAAGUUUGCUCCAGGGAUUUUUGACAAGCCAGCUGACGACCGCGAGGAGCAGCAACGCGGCCAGGAACGCCAGGAGUGAUGCAGUGACGAUGAAGUAAACCUUGAAUCGAUCUUUCUACUUUCCACCAUCGACCACUGUCACUGGUGAUGGAGGAGGAAUCCUCUCCAAUCUGCUCGAGAAGUUCCAGGACAGGAUCCGGUGGAAGUCGAGGUUGGCGGUGCCAGAGCCGGCAGAGAAGCCCACGUACGAGACAUCGCUGACAUAGGCGCACAAAUUCACGCUGUGCUCCAGCACCGGGUCGCCCAAGUUCCGGAACGAUGGGUCGGAGGAGACGAACACUCGCAGCCUCUGCACGGCGGCAUCGUAAUCGAUUCUCGCCGCGACGGUACCGAUGCCAAGAGAGAUCCUCCGCGGAUAGAGCGAGCUCGAGUUCACGGACAGGAUCCCGUUGAUGUCGAGGCCGACGUGGUUGUCAUCGAUGUCCUGGAACUCGGGAUAGACUGGUGGAAAGUUCAUGAAAGUGUCGAAUUCCACCGCGACGAUGCGGUUGCUCGCGCGGCCAUUCGCGGCGGGAUCGAACAAGCCCAGCCAGCGGCCAUAGCCAGCGGAGGAGGUGGGGACGAGGUUAGGGGCGAUAGUGAACGCGAGGCCAUCGGCAUUGACCAGUGUGGAGUCGUUCUUGGUGAUGGCGAAGACGAACUCGGUGGAGAAGGAGGCGCCGGCGCCGGCGGAUGCGUUGCAAAGCUGGAUCUCCUGCUGCUUCAUGAUCCUGCCAUAGCUCGACAGGCGAUUGCCGGUGAGCCGGAGCUCGUCAUUGUUGAAGGUCGCGUCACCAGUGGCCACAAAAUCGUUGCGUGCCUGGGGCGAGAAGUUGCUGUAUGUGAAACUUACGUGAUCAUCAAGCGCUGCUGUUGCGCCUAGUGCCACGAUCGAAAGCACGAUCGCCAGAGCUUUGGCCAUUGGACCAACCAACGCUAGAAGAGCAAACUCGUGCGUGGUCGACACGGCUAGACCGAUCAUUUUAACCAGUGAGGCAGCGAGAGCUGUUGAAGCAUGAUUUAAUACUUUGAAGGAGGUCCGGGUUCAAUCCUCGGCCUGUUCAAGUCCAUUUUCCAUCGUCUCUUUUGUUAUCGGUACCUUGACAGGAUAGUUCCCGGAACUCGAGCCUUUUUUAAUUAGUGAGCAAUCUGUUAGUAACACUUUCGGUGGACGAUGUUUGGCCCAUACUCAUCGUAGUCUCCCUUGGUGAGAUGCUGGUUUUGAGGGAACACCACCUUGGCGAGGAUGGCGCCGCCAAUCCAUGCCGAGUAUUGCAGCGUCCGCUCUGGCAUGUACUCCGGAGGCUGCGAAAGCGGAGAGAAUGAGAAAGACGAAAGCCAGAAAAGUUUCACUGCUUCUUCUUUACCUUCACUACGGAGGGCCGCAAGGAGGGAGUUCCGUGAAGAGACACCUCCUUCUGAAAGCGAGCUUCAAAACCUGGGAAGUGCUUGGAAGGUGAGCUAGGAAAAAACGAGGAUGGAUUCUUGCCUUUCAUCGUUGAAGUGCCUCCACACAGCACAAUGUUCUCGAUCAGAGGCUUCUGGCAUUCGGCAGGAGAGCAGAGCGAAAGGCUUCUCACAAGCUGCUCCGUGAUCCCGUAUUCCUGGAUUUCCACAAGUGAUGGCUGAUAGAGCACCUCACCAAGUGUGUAUCUUUCACUUCCAACAGAAAUGACCUGUCCCCACAAACACGAGCUAAGAAAACAUACACAGCAGCAAAAGCUUACCCGACCGUCAGGUAGCGUGUGUUCUAUGACAGAUCCCUCAGCCACCUUCUUCUCGUAAUCCACAGAAUCGUCCAGACUCACUGCUACUGCUUCUUUGAUCUGCUCCAGCGCAAAACCAUCCAGCUUCGUGUGAGGAUUGGACUUGGCCAGCUUAGUCCCGAGGAGCUCUGUCAAGUCCUGUCCAGCGUACUCGAACCGCUUGACGGCGUUGUGCUGGAUUCCACCCUCCCACACGGGCGCAAUAUCUGCAGCGAAAACAAGUCUUGUGCACCAUUCGUUACAUUGUUACACAACGUUACCAGAGCCACUGUGAAUGAGUACCUAUUUUCCCAUGUCCGACGUCCACUGCACAGCCAGAGAUGCGUCCCACAGCAUACACGGACAGCACUGGUUGCUCCACGGCAUAGAAGCCAUUCACAUUGAAAGUUUCAAACAUAAGUUGGACGGUCUUCUCCCUUGCAAUCUGUCACAGAAAAUCAAGCAUGAGUUUCAAACAGUUCACAGAUGCCAUGACGAUGACAAGGAGUCCAAAAAAAAAGCGAAAACCAUGUCCAUGACUUGAUACAAAGAAGAAGUCAUGCAAAAAGAUAGAAGAACAAGGAUACCGAAAACCAUGUCUCCCUAGCUACGAGUGAACACAAAGAAGUCAGUCAUACAAAAUGAAAGAAAGAAGAACGAAGGAAACAAAGAAAGGACAAAAGAAAGAGGCUUGCCUUUCGUGUGAGCAGUGAGUCGGCAAUUAAAAUUUGGCCCUCGUUUCCAACCUCCCAGCCCAGGCCUGUGUAGAAAACAUACCUCCACAGGUCUUCCAUGGCUUCCCAGUCAUGGAUAGCUCCUCUCUCGAUGGGAUUCACGGCAUUCUCCUUCCAAUCG